AGCAGCCGCGGUAAUUCCAGCUCCAAUAGCGUAUAUUAAAGUUGUUGCAGUUAAAAAGCUCGUAGUUGAAUUUCGGGAUCAAUACGUCGGUCGUGCUUCGGUACGUACUGGCGUAAUUGAUUUCUCCCUUCUGACGAACCAUGAUGUCAUUAACUUGGUGUCAUGGGAAAUCAGGACUGUUACUUUGAAAAAAUUAGAGUGUUUAAAGCAGGCUCACGCUUGAAUACAUUAGCAUGGAAUAAUGAAAUAGGACGUUCGAUCCUAUUUUGUUGGUUUUUAGGAUCAACGUAAUGAUUAAUAGGGAUAGUUGGGGGCAUUAGUAUUCAAUUGUCAGAGGUGAAAUUCUUGGAUUUAUUGAAGACUAACUACUGCGAAAGCAUUUGCCAAGGAUGUUUUCAUUAAUCAAGAACGAAAGUUAGGGGAUCGAAGACGAUCAGAUACCGUCGUAGUCUUAACCAUAAACUAUGCCGACUAGGGAUCGGAUGAUGUUAAUUUUUUAAUGACUCAUUCGGCGCCUUAA
RNAcentral lists this unclassified non-coding RNA (520 nucleotides) under uncultured Glomus. Its description in RNAcentral is "SSU rRNA". It matches the Rfam family "Eukaryotic small subunit ribosomal RNA", at positions 569 to 1091 of the family's 1831-position model. The record is from RNAcentral. Lineage: Eukaryota; Fungi; Glomeromycota; Glomeromycetes; Glomerales; Glomeraceae.